GUCGAAAGCUUUCGAAAAAUCUAUGAAUAAAAUUGCUCCUUCUAUAUUAAACUUAUCUGCGUAAUCUAUAACAUCUUGUAUUUGGCGUAAAUUAAAACCUAUAAAUCGGUUCUUUAUGUAACCGGUUUGAUCGGCAUUAAUGAUUAAAUUUAAGAUUUUUUUUAUUCUUAAAGCUAGAGUGUAUGAAAGUAUUUUGUAAUCACUAUUUAAUAAUGAUAUUGGUCUAUAAUUUGCAAGUUCUAAAGGAUCAUUUUUUUUAUAAAUUAGAUUCAGUAAACUUUGUCUUUGCGUAAAUGGCAGAUAUUUAUUUUCAAAGCUAAAAUUAAAAAUUUUUACAAGCAUCGGUCCGAGAAGUUCCCAAAACUUUUUAUAAAAGUUUAUACUUAUUCCGUCCAUACCAGGACUUUUGUUUAUCUUUAGAUUAUUGACUGCAAUGGUUAAUUCUUCUAGAGUUACAUUUCCAUCACAAGACUUACUUUCUUCUUCUGACAGUUUAUAAUUACGUUUUGUUUCAGAAAUGUAUUUUUUAACAUCUAUAUCCGGUUUUUGUUUAGUGUCGUAUAGAUUAGCAUAAAAAUCUCUUUCAAGCUUUAAUAUUUCAUCUUGAUCUGUUACUAUAUCACCCUUAUCGUUUUUUAGUUUAAGUAUUGUCUUUUUCGUUUGUUUAGAUUUUUCAAGACCUAGGAAAUAUGCAUUAUUUUUUUCUCCCUUUUCUACCCACUCUUGUCUUGAUCUUAUUUGAGCUCCUUUUGCUUUGUAUUCAUAUUGAUUUUCUAGCUCUUUCUCUAAAGUGGAUAUUGUUUCUUUAAUAAAAUCAUUAUCUUCAUUAUUAGAUUUUUCAUAUAAUAUUUUUAAUUGUAGUUCUAAAUUACGCGUUACAUUUUUUCUUAGUUUAGCUUUACUUUUACUAUACUGAAUACUGUAUUCCUUUAUUUCCAACUUGAGGGAGUCCCACAGAAGUCUAGGAUCUAUUUCAUUUUUUCCUAUCUCAUUACUUUGUUUUUGUAUAAUUUGAUUUAUUUUGUCUUCGUAUUCUUGCUCGUCGAGAAUACCGUUGUUAAUUUUCCAGUAUCCCGGGCCUCUUGUUUCAGAUGAUACAGAUUGUAAUUGUAUUGAUACUGCUUGGUGAUCAGUACUUUUAAUAAGAAUAGGCCUAAUAUCACAUGACUUUACGUUUAACACAAAGUCUUUUUUAACAAGGAACAUGUCAAUUCUACUAGACUGGACUGGAUUUUUACGUCUCCAUGUGUAUUGGAUCUUUUGAGGGUUAACGUAUCUCCAUAUAUCUAUGAGAUCAUUUGAUUUAAUUAAAUUUUUUAGGCUAUUAACUGGUUUACUUACUUUUUUACGAAUAUUUGAGCUUUUCCUAUCUUCAUUUUUAAGGGCAUCGUUCAUGUCUCCUCCUAAAAUUAUUGUACCUAUUGCGUUUUUGUUUAAAAA
This 1440-nucleotide long non-coding RNA is filed under the name Mytilus galloprovincialis (Mediterranean mussel). The record is from RNAcentral. Lineage: Eukaryota; Metazoa; Mollusca; Bivalvia; Mytilida; Mytilidae.